This is a long non-coding RNA of Apis laboriosa (Himalayan honeybee), 250 nucleotides long. RefSeq lists it as uncharacterized. The record is from RefSeq and is a predicted model, not a curated record. NCBI's taxonomy places the organism in Eukaryota, Metazoa, Arthropoda, Insecta, Hymenoptera, Apidae. The transcript is spliced from 3 exons.
CUAACCUCUAUUAUUAAGUUGACUCAUACUUAUAGAAGAUUUUCUGUGAUAUAAAAAAAAUUAUAUAUAUACAUAAAUAUUUAAAAUCAUGUUUUUAACCAAUAUUUUAUUAAAAAAAAAUAAAAGCAAGUAAAAAAAUUUUAGUAUUAGUAGAAAGUAUAGCAAGUGGUCACAAGCUUAUAAGAAUUCGAGACAGAGUGGCUGAUAAAUUGGAAGAAGUAUAUUUUGAUCCUUAUGUUCAAGCUAAAGU